AGAGUUUGAUCCUGGCUCAGAGCGAACGCUGGCGGCAGGCCUAAAACAUGCAAGUCGAACGAACCCUUCGGGGUUAGUGGCGGACGGGUGAGUAACACGUGGGAACGUGCCCUUUGGUUCGGAACAACUCAGGGAAACUUGAGCUAAUACCGAAUGUGCCCUUCGGGGGAAAGAUUUAUCGCCAUUGGAGCGGCCCGCGUUGGAUUAGCUAGUUGGUGAGGUAAAGGCUCACCAAGGCUACGAUCCAUAGCUGGUCUGAGAGGAUGAUCAGCCACACUGGGACUGAGACACGGCCCAGACUCCUACGGGAGGCAGCAGUUAGGAAUCUUGCGCAAUGGGGGAAACCCUGACGCAGCCAUGCCGCGUGAAUGAUGAAGGUCUUAGGAUUGUAAAAUUCUUUCAGCGGGGACGAUAAUGACGGUACCCGCAGAAGAAGCUCCGGCUAACUUCGUGCCAGCAGCCGCGGUAAUACGAAGGGGGCUAGCGUUGCUCGGAAUUACUGGGCGUAAAGGGCGCGUAGGCGGACAGCUAAGUCAGAGGUGAAAGCCCAGGGCUCAACCUUGGAACUGCCUUUGAUACUGGCUGUCUUGAGUUCGGGAGAGGUGUGUGGAACUCCGAGUGUAGAGGUGAAAUUCGUAGAUAUUCGGAAGAACACCAGUGGCGAAGGGCGACACACUGGCCCGAUACUGACGCUGAGGCGCGAAAGCGUGGGGAGCAAACAGGAUUAGAUACCCCAGUAGUCC
Molecule: ribosomal RNA, 743 nt
Filed under: uncultured bacterium
Lineage: Bacteria
Description: bacterial SSU rRNA
Rfam family: Bacterial small subunit ribosomal RNA
Source: RNAcentral